CCCUUCCAGACAGUUUGCCAUGGUAAAAAAGACAUGCUAGUUAUAGCACUGCCAAAAUAAAUGCAGUAUGAGAGAUGUCAAACAUUUCAUCUUCCAAAAGACUAUACUGUGCAAAAAUGCUAAGCAAGAUGGUGGAGAGAUUGUAGUCAAACUAUCCACAUCCUUUUGAUGAACAGUAUCACACCACUUUCAUAAAAGAACAGAAGUUUGUGCUGGGACCACAUAGAGAUUGAAUCAUGAAGGGUGUCAUCUUUCAGUUCCCAAGUUUGGUAAAACAUUUUAGUUACUGAAUUCAUAUAUAGAACAUAGUAUUGCUGUUUGUUCUUCCAAUAUUUUUAAAGGAAUAAAAGUGAUAUUUCCAUGGUAUGCCACUUAACUCAAAUGUAUUUUUACAGAAAUAGAGACAUAAGCUCCUCAGAGGACUGGGGUUUUAAAUCAAAACUAACUUUUUGUAUUUCAGAUUCUUGAUUGACACAGUUCUCCACAAACAGUGCACUUGUUGUGUAUCUUCCAUGAUUAAAUCUAGAUGUUACUUGUCAUAUAUAAUGGCACAUCAUUAAUUCUUCACAGAACUGGUUUCUAAAUAAAGUAGAUAUAAUUUAAUUUGAUAUACACCUACUUUAAAACUGCCUUGUAGUCAUUUGUCUACCACAGAAUUAUAACGAUAUUCAUGCAAAGUAUUACAUAUAUGUGUAUGCACACGUAAACAGCUCAGAGUUUCUGUUUCCCUCAAUUUAUUUUAUGCCUCUGACAUAUGUCAGGUACAUUUUUUCUUCUUUUAAAGAAAACACAUUUGGCAACUUUUCUAACGAUAAAAUAUAGGAAGUAACACUACCAUAUCUCACUGAGUACUGAAAGGACUAUUUUAGUUAGUGCAGAUGCAGUGGUAAGACAACAGAAAAGUCAUUUGUAUGUCCUAACAAUUACCCCUGGUGACAGUUUGAUAAGAAAUCUCAUACAAGUUCUUUCUGAUGUUCCCAAGAUCUCCAGACACUUUGCAAGAUGAAGUGGAAUCAAUCUAAAUGAGAAAUAAUUUUCUUCACAACAUUUUUUUGCUUAGGUAUAAAUAUGAAGCUCAUUAAAGUUAAUGAUAAUAAUAAUAGUUCCACUGACUUCCUUGGGCUUUGACUCAAGUUCCAUGAAUAUUGUUUAAUUACUACAUGGACAUUUUUACUGCUAUUUAGAGCCAGCCAGUCUGAGAGUUGAUUAAGUCUGUUGCCUCUUCGUUUGCUAGCCAGAAGCUCAACAGUCACCAACUGUGGCUUACUUAACCCUCCAAAUGAAAAAGAUAUAGUGCUUGCUACAACCAUGAUGUUCUGCAUUUGUUCUAGUUCCUAAUUUAACUUAACCCCUAACUUAACCCUUGCUGAAAAUGACAAAGAAAAAGGAGGAGGGAAACAAA
Molecule: long non-coding RNA, 1402 nt
Organism: Oxyura jamaicensis (ruddy duck)
Lineage: Eukaryota; Metazoa; Chordata; Aves; Anseriformes; Anatidae
Exons: 2
Source: RefSeq, a predicted model, not a curated record